UACGUAGGAGGGCAAGCGUUGUCGGAAUUACUGGGCGUAAAGGGCGCGUAGGCGGCCUUCUAAGUCGAACGUGAAAUCCCCGGGCUCAACCUGGGAACUGCAUUUGUGACUGUAGAGCUGGAGUGCGGCAGAGGGGGGAUGGAAUUCCGCGUGUAGCAGUGAAAUGCGUAGAUAUGCGGAGGAACACCGAUGGCGAAGGCAAUCCCCUGGGCCUGCACUGACGCUCCAUGCACGAAAGCGUGGGGAGCAAACAGG
This 255-nucleotide ribosomal RNA is filed under the name uncultured bacterium. Its description in RNAcentral is "partial 16S ribosomal RNA". It matches the Rfam family "Bacterial small subunit ribosomal RNA", at positions 524 to 776 of the family's 1533-position model. The record is from RNAcentral.